UUUUCUUCGUUCAUAUCGAUUAAUUCUAGAAUACAUUCGAGAGCUCUAUUCUCUCUCUCACACACACAGACGUCAUUUUGUUUCCUUCCCUUCUCUGUUUAUAGCCUUCGUGACUCACUAACUGGUCGUGGUUUUCAAAUUCCUCUGCUUUGGUUCGAGAUUGUCUUGUGUUGUUGUAUACCUGAGUUGCGGUAAGUUUUUUCCCCCUUUGUCCUUCUUUUUUAUUCGCACUCUCCUUAUUCCCUGCUUGCCCUACUAGAAUGAAACUGUAUUGAACAAAAGUUUUUUUCUUGUGUGCUUGGAAUAUAUGCAUUAUUUAUCUCUUUGACUCUUCUUUGUUUCCUUGACUUUCUUCAAUUCAAUAAGAGAAUAUUUUUCUUAAUUAAUGCAUGUUGAUUUUAUUAUUUUUCAUGUUUCAUGUUUUUGUUAUUUUUUGGGGUUUCUAAUUUUUACAAUACAUGUCAUUCCCAGUUUGAUUUUUGGUGGUUCCGGCAUCCCUAAGCAUUUCUGGGUGAUCGUGAUUGGCUCUUUUCUAGGUUAACAAUUUAUUUUAUGUUACUUUUGCUAAGUUUCGUUGUGAAUUCUGCAAUUCAAUUUCUAUUCAAGGGUUGCACGAACUAUUUUGUCAUAAUUUUAACUUAAUUCUAAGUAGUUUUGUUAUUGCCCGUAAUUAACAAUUUGAGAUUCAAAAUGCUUGUGUUUCCUGAAUUAUAUUAUUAUUUUAAUUAGUUGAGUUAAGAUUGAGGUGCAAUUAAUGGAUUAAUGUUCUCUGUUUUUCUGUGUGUGUUGACUUGGUUGAUUGAUGGUUGCAGGUAAAGGGAUUAUUUUUAGCUUAGAUGUGAGAUCAGAUUAGAUUUAACAUUAAAUUUGACUCAUGGUUGAAGAACUCACAAGAAUGUGAGAUUUAUGAUUGUAGGAGGUAAUACUUCUUUUAUACGAUCACUGUGUAUCUCUAAUAUAUUUUAAUUUGAGAUAAUU
Molecule: long non-coding RNA, 978 nt
Filed under: Nicotiana tabacum (common tobacco)
Lineage: Eukaryota; Viridiplantae; Streptophyta; Magnoliopsida; Solanales; Solanaceae
Description: long non-coding RNA (NTAB_LNC008747)
Source: RNAcentral